AUCGCUUCUCGGCCUUUUGGCUAAGAUCAAGUGUAGAAGUAACUCUGUACAUUGGGUUGUUACCAUUUUUUGGACUCAUGUAUGAAAAUUUUCAAAUAUAUUCAGAAGUGGAGUGAACAGUAUAAAAAAUCCUACGGUACUUAGUUUAUUCUUU
RNAcentral lists this small nuclear RNA (154 nucleotides) under Suricata suricatta (meerkat). Its description in RNAcentral is "U2 spliceosomal RNA (ENSSSUG00005003787.1)". The stretch from base 1 to 123 matches the Rfam family "U2 spliceosomal RNA". Rfam says of the family: U2 is a small nuclear RNA (snRNA) component of the spliceosome (involved in pre-mRNA splicing). Complementary binding between U2 snRNA (in an area lying towards the 5' end but 3' to hairpin I) and the branchpoint sequence (BPS) of the intron results the bulging out of an unpaired adenosine, on the BPS, which initiates a nucleophilic attack at the intronic 5' splice site, thus starting the first of two transesterification reactions that mediate splicing. Lineage: Eukaryota; Metazoa; Chordata; Mammalia; Carnivora; Herpestidae. The record is from RNAcentral.